CUCUACUACUUUUCUAAUGUGUGAUAGGAAUAAUUAAGAUGAUUAAGUGGUAAUUGUUUCAAUUUUGUUGCCAGAAAGAUGACUUUGCCUCCAAAGAGAAAACAGCAAGCCAAGAGUGACAACAGGAUUAAAUGACAAACGACUUUGCCCUGGAAGAAGAUGGAGGAAAAUGGGCCCCUGCGGAGACUCUUUCCCCAGAUCUGUUCUAACCUUCAGAGUCAGGAAAGAGGUGUUGUUGUAGUUGUUCCUGUUGCUUCCAGAUCUCUUCAAUGGGUGACACGGGAGGAGAGGAGCCUUUGGGAACAGAAAGGCCGAUACUGACCUUCAGACCUGGGGAAGGAGAGGAAGAGUGGGAGGUAACCUGGCUUCUCCUGGAAAGGUCAUCUGUCUGCUGGGCUGUGACUGCAGAGACCUGCCUGGACAAGUGGGCCUGGGACAAGUGGGAAGUGUGUGAGAACUGUCGGGAGAAAGAGAAACGGUAGGAUGCGGGGAGAAGAGAGAACAUGUUGGGUGAUCAAAAGAUGCCCAAACAUUAAUACAGAAGAAUAAGAGCUUAAUCAUAA
This 563-nucleotide long non-coding RNA is filed under the name Urocitellus parryii (Arctic ground squirrel). RNAcentral's name for it is "lncRNA (ENSUPAG00010020430.1)". Lineage: Eukaryota; Metazoa; Chordata; Mammalia; Rodentia; Sciuridae. The record is from RNAcentral.